Molecule: ribosomal RNA, 487 nt
Filed under: uncultured bacterium
Lineage: Bacteria
Description: partial 16S ribosomal RNA
Rfam family: Bacterial small subunit ribosomal RNA
Source: RNAcentral
GAUGAACGCUAGCGAUAGGCUUAACACAUGCAAGUCGAGGGGCAGCACAAGGUAGCUUGCUAUCUGGGUGGCGACCGGCGCACGGGUGCGUAACGCGUAUGCAACCUGCCCUAUACAGGAGGAUAACCCGUCGAAAGACGGACUAAUACUGCGUAUGCUCACAACUUGGCAUCAAGUGGUGAGGAAAGAAAUUCGGUAUAGGAUAGGCAUGCGUCCCAUUAGCUUGUUGGUGAGGUAACGGCUCACCAAGGCAACGAUGGGUAGGGGAACUGAGAGGUUUAUCCCCCACACUGGUACUGAGACACGGACCAGACUCCUACGGGAGGCAGCAGUGAGGAAUAUUGGUCAAUGGGCGCGAGCCUGAACCAGCCAAGUCGCGUGAAGGAUGACUGUCUUAUGGAUUGUAAACUUCUUUUAUACGGGAAUAACAAGAGUCACGUGUGACUCCCUGCAUGUACCGUAUGAAUAAGCAUCGGCUAACUCCGUG